RNAcentral lists this ribosomal RNA (465 nucleotides) under uncultured bacterium. RNAcentral's name for it is "partial 16S ribosomal RNA". It matches the Rfam family "Bacterial small subunit ribosomal RNA", at positions 338 to 795 of the family's 1533-position model. The record is from RNAcentral.
CCUACGGUGGGCAGCAGUGGGGAAUCUUGCGCAAUGGGCGAAAGCCUGACGCAGCGACGCCGCGUGAGGGAUGAAGGUCUUCGGAUCGUAAACCUCUGUCAGCAGGGAAGAACGGUCACUGUGCUAAUCAGCAGUGAAUUGACGGUACCUUCAAAGGAAGCACCGGCUAACUCCGUGCCAGCAGCCGCGGUAAUACGGAGGGUGCGAGCGUUAAUCGGAAUUACGGGGCGUAAAGCGCUCGUAGGCGGUAUGUCAAGUCAAGCGUGAAAGCCCCGCGCUCAACGUGGGAAUUGCAUUUGAAACUGUCAAACUGGAGUGUGUGAGAGGAUAGUGGAAUUGCAGGUGUAGGAGUGAAAGCCGUAGAUAUCUGGAGGAACAUCAGUGGCGAAGGCGACUAUCUGGCACAUAACUGACGCUGAGGAGCGAAAGCGUGGGUAGCAAACAGGAUUAGAUACCCCAGUAGUC